RNAcentral lists this ribosomal RNA (455 nucleotides) under uncultured bacterium. RNAcentral describes it as "bacterial SSU rRNA". It matches the Rfam family "Bacterial small subunit ribosomal RNA", at positions 340 to 786 of the family's 1533-position model. The record is from RNAcentral.
UACGGAAGGCAGCAGUGGGGAAUAUUGCACAAUGGGCGCAAGCCUGAUGCAGCCAUGCCGCGUGUAUGAAGAAGGCCUUCGGGUUGUAAAGUACUUUCAGUCGUGAGGAAGGUGUUAAGGUUAAUAACCUUAGCAAUUGACGUUAGCGACAGAAGAAGCACCGGCUAACUCCGUGCCAGCAGCCGCGGUAAUACGGAGGGUGCGAGCGUUAAUCGGAAUUACUGGGCGUAAAGGGCACGCAGGCGGUUAAUUAAGUUGGAUGUGAAAUCCCCGGGCUUAACCUGGGAAUGGCAUUCAAGACUGGUUUAGCUAGAGUCUUGUAGAGGGGGUAGAAUUCCGAUGUGUAGCGGUGAAAUGCGUAGAGAUGUGGAGGAAUACCGGUGGCGAAGGCGGCCCCUGGACAAAGACUGACGCUCAUGUGCGAAAGCGUGGGGAGCAAACAGGGAUUAGAUACC